UUCUAACAGCACAGAGUAGGUGAAGUGAGAGAUAAACUGGCUUCAUGUAGGAACAAGAGGAAAAGUGUUUUAUUUUACUAAGAAGAUUUUACUGGAAGACCAAUCUGGAAACGGCCCUUACUUCGGCCGCAGCUGCUGGGACAUCCUGGGGCCUCGCCUGUCUGGUCUGCCUGUCUCCUUGCUGCUGUCAGGGCGGUGGGGUCCCCGGGAACAGUCCAAGACCCUGGGGUGGGGGAUUUACAGCUUUUGGCUUCCCUCAGACCAUAUAGGGUUUUUUCUUUCUUUCUUUUUCAUGGGCAUUUGAUUUAAAAGUUUUGUGUUUAAAGAGCUGAACUUCACACGAGUUUUACUUACCAGUUUGGAAGACAUUGAGCUCUAAACAUGACUGCCCAAGGCCUCUGCCAAGCAGCCCCGUCUGUCUGUCUGUCUGUCUGUCUGUCUGUCUGUCUGUCUGUCUGAAGAGACAGGAAGGUGGAGAAACUGCAGUUGCCGACCUGUCUCUAGGCCACUGAGGGCAGCCAUCCAGCAUCCUCGGGACCCCAUGGCUCCAGCUGCUGACAGAUGGGAAACGUCUGGCCUCCAUCACCAGGUCACCUCGACAAGGAUCUGUAAUGGGGGCAGGGGCAGGGGUGGAUGAGAAAGUAGGAAGUGGAUGCUGGGCAGUGAGGUGUGAAUUGACGGCAGAGCCCAGCCUGACAGCACCUUUGAUUGAUGAAAGGACAUUGUUAACAAGCCUUUAAAGUUUCUCAUUAAUGUUUUUUUCAUUGAAAAAAAAAAAGCCACCAGAAAAAAGUUCCACAUGGACAGUAAUUAAGAUGGAUCCCGUACAGUAUGGUAUCAAUGUUGGGAGCCUUUAGGAGAAAAUUACCCGCUCUCCUGUUAAAAACUUCUUUCAAGGCUGCCAUUUUCUGGCCUUUCGAAAGUCCCUGGCAAUGUGGGGACCUGGGUGGUCAGGCACAUUCUGCAGGUGUGAUGUGGUCAGCGGGUGCAGAGUGGAGACCCCAGCUUUCUUUGUCAUGGACUCUGAUGCAGUAGGGGAGGAAGAGCAGGGAAGGGUCUGUUGCCAUGGAGGGGGCUGGAGUUCUCAGCUCCAAGUGGGUCCCAAGGAGCGCGGCUGAGCAGAGUGCACGUGAUGUGCAUGGUUCUCACCAGAGAUGCUGCAGCGCUGGGGCGAGGGGACCAUCUCUUCCCCUUGUUUCUGCAUGGGGGCUGAGCCAGCCCCCUAUUGUACACACAGCACUGCACACAUGCACACCCAGGGGUUCUUUCCAAGUCUUCCAGGUACACAUCACUGCUGGUCGGACCCUGAAUACCAGUGGAAUGCCUGCGUCCAGGCUGAUUUGCUGACUUACAUUAAGAAAACCCAGCUGGAGAAAGUAUCAGGGUCUUAACGUUAAGCAACAUGUGAGAUUGUGCAAAAAGGAGUGCUUUUGUGUGUUGUGAUUACCAUGGCUGCAGGACAAGCGGAUGCACGUGUGACACUUGGCAGGCAACAAGGAAGCCUGUGUGGAGCAUGGAGCCCGGUCCUGACCAGGCUGGACUCUGCACGGUGGCCCUGGGGACUGGCAGUUGCCUCCCCUGAGCCCCUUGCUGGAGGCAAAAGUUAGCCCGACCAAGGGCUUCUUCCACCUGACCAGACGGGCCAUCUGCCACCACACCCCAGGCUGGACUCCACCCUUUAGGGAACCUUGGGUCAGAGAGAAGUUGGCCUGGCCAUGACGGUGGAGCUCUGGAACAGGAGGCCCAGGGCCUGCACACCGUGCGUAGAGUGCCUCUCUCAGUGCUGAUGGUGAAGCAGACCCUUGGGACAAAGGACCCUGUGCUCCCCAGCCCCCCAGGCCAGAGUCGGGUAGCUCUCGUCAGAAUGCCCCACUCCAAGGUUUCAUGGUCAGCUUCCUGGGCCCCCAGCAGGCCUUGGUCCGUCCCCCUCCGCCACACACAGGGUGGGCCUCCCUCACCCACAGGAGCCUGGGCGGGCGGCAUUCCCACCACGCAAGGUCCCCCAGGGCACUAACUCGCCACCCUUUGGCUGCCGUUCUCCAGCAUGCGGGAGUGGAGCACUGCCCCCGCUCCACAGUGGCCAGAGGUUUUGUAGUAACCCCAGCAGGGAGCCCACACCCUGUCCUGGCUUUAGGUUAGCAGAGCACGCGACCACCAUGGGCUGCUCAGUACCUCCACCUCCCCGCAGACCGCCACACCUGGCAACACCGUCUGCGGAGGCCACAGUGACCUGAACUGGGGGAACGAGUACCUGGGGAAGUGUGGAGAGAAGCCCCUUCCCUAAGAACCUGCACAGUGAGCAUGCUCUCGGGGUCCCCCCAAGGCCACUGGAGGAGACAGCCAAGCUCUGGUCACCCCAGAUCUUUGGGGACCACUGCCUUCACUCUGACGUGGAAGGGCUGCGGUAUGGGUCACCAUGAGGGCUCAAGGAGCACGGAGUAGGGAGCAGCCAUGGAAACCCAGUCCCCGGGCUCCUGCAUCCACAGAGGCUGGCAGGGUGGUGGGAGAAAGCACCCAGAAGUGACAGGGAGGGGGACGAGGGCCUCAGUGCAGCUCUGAUGUCCCGGCCGCGGCACUGGGCCCAGUUCAAGGUUUUGCAGCCUUCUGGGUGCCCUGCGUGGCUGGGUUUGGGGCCGGGACUGUGACCUGUGAUGGCAGGUCCAGAGUAUCUGAGGAUACUCAAUCCCGGAAUCUUCCUGAUCUCAGGAUGUCAGGCCUGAGUGACCCGAACCAGGCCCAGAAGCCAGAGGAAAUCCUGGUGUCUGUGGCCCUGCCUGAGUGUCGGACGCAUUCCCGAGGCACACCUGGGCCUCCCUGCCCCACCUCCCAGGAGUGCCCUUCAGGAUGCAGCCUGGACAGCAUGUGCAGUGGAAAUGCAUUUACUGGGUGAAGAGGAAGGUCCCUGACUCAGAAGACAGUGUGGGCCCACACAUCUGACCACGUGAUUUGUGUCAUGUGCUUGACCAGCUGUUCCUCAGCUUUCCCCCUCCACUUGCAGGGCAGCUGAGCACGAGUCCCAGGAAGCAUCUGAGAGGCCCUGCAGACCCGGCUGAGGAGGCCGAAAGCAGCCCCAGGUCCCAGGUGCGGGCGCGCUCCGUGUGGAGCGGUCUCCAAGGCCAGGCCUGCAGCGCCCUGGGGACCUGCAGAACAGAGGACGGAUGGGCACAGCGGCCCGGCGGAGCAGGCCGGAGCCCGGCUCGAGGGAAGCUUGCCUUCUCGUCUGGCAUCCCCGUGUUUUACAUAAUUAGGCACCUCCACAUGACGCCGAUACCCCCGACGCUCACAGCAUUCUGCCAGAUACCACGUCUCCCCCACCCAGGACAGAAAUGUGUGUGAUAAAAAUGUUUAAGCAAUUGAAAGGAACAUGGGUGUGGUGGGCAGAAUUAUUAAAUAACAACAACAACAACAAAAUCAAUCCUCAGGUCGGCCUGGCCAGAUGAGCGUUUCUCGGCUCAGGUUACCGCUGGCGACAGUCCUGCUGGUGGCUCUGUCACUGCUUUGUUCAGAUCGCUCUUCCAGCACAUCCUCAGCACCUUUCCAGCCUCCACCUGCUGCCUGCUUUGAAAACGAGGCCAAAGUUUCAGCUCCUCUUUCUUCGAAUUGCCUUUAACCUCACUUGGAAUGCCAGUCUUCGCCAGAUCGGCCCAGAGCCCAGCACCCUCACACCCACUCAGAGAUGUUGUCGGCACUGCAGAGCCAAGAGUUGGUCUUCACAGCUGUGGGCGAGCUCUGGUGUGGGCUUUUGUGGUCCCUGAGCCCCACGGACCCUACUCGCCUAGAGCAGGGGCUGCCUACAUCAUAAGUGUGUAAGCCACAGUCAUGACCAGAAAGAGCCCACUCCAGAGAGGCAUGUGGCCUCUGCUCCUUCCCCAGGCCCACUCUGGGGCACCUCAAACGUGCAGCCACAGGCCGACCCCUGCAGCCCACUGAUGAGGGGUGUGACACAGCCGUGGCUGGAGGGCUGGGGCUGGGGCUGGUCCCUGUGUCCCUGGGAGUCAGAGGCAGCUUCCUGCAGCCCAGCCACCACAGUGUGCAGGCUGCGACUAAAGCCUGCGUGUUUCUUCAAAAACGUGGAUAUCAGACAAGACAAAAUGUUGUGAGGAUGUUCCAGAUGAAGGAAGACUCAAGAGGCACGGCAAUUAACGGCAGUGGACUGAACCCCGGACUGGAAGGAAAACACGGUCUUAGAAGAAACCAUCACACCGAGGUCGUAUCUGAGCACAGCUUGGAAGCUCCUAUGUUUGC
This is a non-coding RNA of Saimiri boliviensis boliviensis (Bolivian squirrel monkey), 4245 nucleotides long. The record is from RefSeq and is a predicted model, not a curated record. Lineage: Eukaryota; Metazoa; Chordata; Mammalia; Primates; Cebidae.